UUUUCGUGUACUCGAUCUCAAGUGGUGUACCAGUGAAAAUUAUACCAGGACUUAUUCCUGGUAUGGUGAAUUUCACUGGUAGACCAUUUUUGACUUCUCUACGAUCUUGUAGGACGGUAACCGGACACUUUAAAUCACCGGUUCUUCCUAAUCUUACUCCUCCUCCUCCGGGGCCACGAAGUGCUGGUAAAAUGUAGUAUUGACCACCUGGAAAAAUGGGGUUACCAUUUAUGUCUAAUACUUGCUCAACAUCAUUUGAGGUAGCUAGUGAAAGAUUGGUGAUGAAAACAAAGAUGAAGAAGGAAAGGGUUAGUGAUAAAAGAUGCUUCAUUGUU
This 335-nucleotide long non-coding RNA is filed under the name Medicago truncatula (barrel medic). RNAcentral describes it as "lncRNA gene36735". The record is from RNAcentral. Lineage: Eukaryota; Viridiplantae; Streptophyta; Magnoliopsida; Fabales; Fabaceae.